AUUGGUGACGAGUCCCAAAUAGGACGAAAUGCGCAUCCAGGAU
RNAcentral lists this non-coding RNA (43 nucleotides) under Trichobilharzia regenti. Lineage: Eukaryota; Metazoa; Platyhelminthes; Trematoda; Strigeidida; Schistosomatidae. The record is from RNAcentral.